AGUGAACGCUGGCGGUAGGCCUAACACAUGCAAGUCGAACGGCAGCACAGGAGAGCUUGCUCUCUGGGUGGCGAGUGGCGGACGGGUGAGGAAUACAUCGGAAUCUGCCCAGUCGUGGGGGAUAACGUAGGGAAACUUACGCUAAUACCGCAUACGACCUUCGGGUGAAAGAGGGGGAUCGCAAGACCUCUCGCGAUUGGAUGAGCCGAUGGCGGAUUAGCUAGUUGGCGGGGUAAUGGCCCACCAAGGCGACGACCCGUAGCUGGUCUGAGAGGAUGAUCCGCCACACUGGAACUGAGACACGGUCCAGACUCCUACGGGAGGCAGCAGUGGGGAAUAUUUGACAAUGGGCGCAAGCCUGAUCCAGCCAUACCGCGUGGGUGAAGAAGGCCUUCGGGUUGUAAAGCCCUUUUGUUGGGAAAGAAAUCUUUCAGGCUAAUACCCUGGGAGGAUGACGGUACCCAAAGAAUAAGCACCGGCUAACUUCGUG
RNAcentral lists this ribosomal RNA (490 nucleotides) under uncultured bacterium. RNAcentral's name for it is "partial 16S ribosomal RNA". It matches the Rfam family "Bacterial small subunit ribosomal RNA", at positions 29 to 507 of the family's 1533-position model. The record is from RNAcentral.